AAAAAAAAAAAAAGGAAAAAAAAUCUGGACAGAGAAAAAACUUCAAUUCCAUCAGCCACGCAUUUAUAAGCUUGCAAAAUAACUUUGAUUAUGUCAAGAGUCAGCAGAAAUCUGGCCUAGGCUUCUUGCGGACAGAUAUGCAGCCUCUUUGAUGAUCCCUGAAAAUUCUGAUCUCAGAACAAUCCCUCAGGUCUUCAAGACUAAUGUACUGUUGCUUGACCAUCCUGGAGAAAUCACCUCCAGUGUCAUGCACCCAAAUAUAAGGUUGGCAUGUCUCAUCAUAGUAAUAAAGCAGGCUCUUCAUGCCUCCAGCACUAGCACUUCCACUCCUUCCAGGCAUGUAGGCCUUGUAUAUGCUCUUGCAUUUUAGUCUCUUUGAAGAGCCUGGCUUCAAUGUGUGAACCUUUUUCAGUAUUGAUCCCACCCUUACUUGCAGCUCAACUGACCUGUCACUCAGGUUCCAGAUCCUGGAGCCGAAUCCUGAAGUUUGUGUAUGAUCUCGACAGCCAUCAAAACAACCCCCAAGAGGGAAAAUGCUGAACCCUGUCAUUGGACUCAGAAACCUUAAAUUUUGUAUCAACCUUAUUGCUUUCUGUUAUAGAAGUCGAAUGUGUCCCUUAUAAAUAAGGCACACAACAACCUGUAUCUUUUUGGAUGGCUGUGAUUAUUAGGUUGUGGAUCCACCAAAAGGCAGAUCACAAUUUGGAUGGUCCUGAUUUGUAUAAGAACCAGAUUGCGGAUAAAUGGAAUUG
RNAcentral lists this unclassified non-coding RNA (752 nucleotides) under Hevea brasiliensis (rubber tree). The record is from RNAcentral. Lineage: Eukaryota; Viridiplantae; Streptophyta; Magnoliopsida; Malpighiales; Euphorbiaceae.